This 497-nucleotide ribosomal RNA is filed under the name uncultured bacterium. RNAcentral's name for it is "partial 16S ribosomal RNA". It matches the Rfam family "Bacterial small subunit ribosomal RNA", at positions 28 to 507 of the family's 1533-position model. The record is from RNAcentral.
GAUGAACGCUGGCGGCGUGCCUAAUACAUGCAAGUCGAGCGAACAGACGAGGCUCUUGCUCCUCUGACGUUAGCGGCGGACGGGUGAGUAACAGGUGGAUUACCUACCUAUAAGACUGAGAUAACUUCGGGAAACCGGAGCUAAUACCGGAUAAUAUAUUGAACCGCAUGGUUGAAUAGUGAAAGACGGUUUUGCUGUCCUUUCUAGCUGUAUCCGCGCCGCAUGAGCUAGUUGGUAAGGUAACGGCUUACGAGGGCCGCAAUGGGUAGCCGACCCGAGAGCGUGAACGCCCACACUGGGACUGAACCACGGUCCUGACUCCUACGGGAGGCAGCAGUAGGGACUCGUCCGCGAUGGGCGAAAGCCUGACGGAGCAGCGCCGGGCUAGUGAUGAAGGUCUUCGGAUCGUAAAACUCUGUUAGUGGGGAAGAACAAUUGUGUAAGUAACUAUGCACGUCUUGACGGUACCUAAUCAGAAAGCCACGGCUAACUACGUG